UGUUUGAUCUUUCCAUUUUUGUUUUGUUGUUUCUUUUCUUUUUCCCUCUCUUUUUCGUGAGUGCGUGAAAUACAAAGUUGCAUUAAAGCCUUCAGAAAACAUAGAUAUGCAAAGACAAGUACAUCAAU
RNAcentral lists this non-coding RNA (128 nucleotides) under Palpitomonas bilix. The record is from RNAcentral.